This is a non-coding RNA of Malus domestica (apple), 699 nucleotides long. The record is from RefSeq and is a predicted model, not a curated record. NCBI's taxonomy places the organism in Eukaryota, Viridiplantae, Streptophyta, Magnoliopsida, Rosales, Rosaceae.
AGUCCCUUGCUAACGGGUCUUCGCGAGGACCCCCGAUUCUGAGAGGAUUGCUAAGCCGCCCUCUAAUCCCGUCAUCUCCCUUCUCCUUCGCACCUUCGCGCAUCAACCGCAGCAACUGCAGCUUGCUCCUCGUCCCUUUCGCACCUUUGCCAUUUCCUUUCUCCUUCCUUGUCACUCCACCUUGUAGCCGUCCAACAUAUAAACAAUCGAUGAUGGACCUGUAUCGCUGGUGAUGGUCUGAUCAGUGUAGUUGAAUGAUGCUGUGCAUGGCUAUCUGCAACGCAAUGGGCACUUGGGUUUUCUCCGUAGCAGGGGCUUUGUUAGCAAUUCCAGUGGGGAUAAAAAGGAAACUUUAUCACCGCUUGUGUUCUUCGGCACAACAGUUACCAUGCUUGACAUUAUAAUGGGAAUCACUCGGUGUGAAAAAGAACAUGCAGAACGCCAAGCGAAGCUAUUAGAAGCCCAGACUUCUGCAACUGAUGCUUCAUUUACUGAGACUGGGGCGGAAACAUAGUCUUGACUCCUAAGCAUAUGCAUCAUAUGCCCGUGUUUGGCUGCUGUCAGUUUUCUUUUCAAAUUUCUUUACCGUAAAAGUUUAAUAGUCGAACCUGUUGAAUGACCCCUUUGCUUGAAUUCUGCCUUCCCUUUUUCAUGGGUUAAUAAUCACACGAAAGUUGUUAAUGACAUAACGUCGGGUUU